Mastomys coucha (southern multimammate mouse) is the source of this 605-nucleotide long non-coding RNA. RefSeq lists it as uncharacterized. The record is from RefSeq and is a predicted model, not a curated record. NCBI's taxonomy places the organism in Eukaryota, Metazoa, Chordata, Mammalia, Rodentia, Muridae. The transcript is spliced from 2 exons.
CUGUGAGGGGCUGGGGCAACAGGGUUGGGAGAGCUGGGGCAGCAGGGCUGGGAUGGGCAACGGGCUGCUGACGGUUGACAGAAGAAGCCAAGUGGGCCUUGAAUUCCAGGUCUCAGCCAGGAGCUGCAGAAUUCUACUCAGAGAUGGUGAGCAUGGGGUUUACAGGCUCACACUGGAAGACAGGCUUUGCUACAUUCUCUGGCCGGAAGCACAGACUGUGGGAAAAGUCAAGAACAUUGACAAAGCCCAGUUUGAAGGCAGGGGUCAGCGGGAAGAGGCUGCUUGAUGACAGUCACUUGGGUUCAUCUGCAAAUACCGGCCAGAGUUUGAGGUUGUUGACAAUGGAAAAACUUCCCCGAAGGGAACCAGACAGGAGCUUUAGAACAUCUUAAAGGAACACAAGAGCAGCGAACAGGAAAUGCCUUGGUUUCUUUGCUUGCUUCCCCAAGAGAGCAGAAAUGAGGCAAAGCUCUGUGAGGAGGGUUGAAUUAUUAUACUGCAAGAAGUUUUCUGAAGAUCUGGGCUCUGAAGAUGGAUCCCAUUAGUAAAAUCUGACAGCUAUUCCAUGCCUCCCUGCAUUUUAGCAUCUCACACCAAAGCAUAAA